This 440-nucleotide ribosomal RNA is filed under the name uncultured bacterium. Its description in RNAcentral is "partial 16S ribosomal RNA". It matches the Rfam family "Bacterial small subunit ribosomal RNA", at positions 338 to 795 of the family's 1533-position model. The record is from RNAcentral.
CCUACGGGGGGCAGCAGUGGGGAAUAUUGCACAAUGGGGGCAACCCUGAUGCAGCGACGCCGCGUGAGUGAAGAAGUAUUUCGGUAUGUAAAGCUCUAUCAGCAGGGAAGAAAAUGACGGUACCUGAUUAAGAUGCCCCGGCUAACUACGUGCCAGCAGCCGCGGUAAUACGUAGGGGGCAAGCGUUAUCCGGAUUUACUGGGUGUAAAGGGGGCGUAGACGGCAGCACAAGUCUGGAGUGAAAUGCCGGGGCGUAACCCCGGACCUGCUUUUGAAACUGUGCAGCUAGAGUGCAGGAGAGGCAAGUGGAAUUCCUAGUGUAGCGGUGAAAUGCGUAGAUAUUAGGAGGAACACCAGUGGCGAAGGCGGCUUACUGGACUGUAACUGACGUUGAGGCUCGAAAGCGUGGGGAGCAAACAGGAUUAGAUACCCUUGUAGUC